This 608-nucleotide long non-coding RNA is filed under the name Daphnia magna. RNAcentral's name for it is "uncharacterized LOC123469768". Lineage: Eukaryota; Metazoa; Arthropoda; Branchiopoda; Diplostraca; Daphniidae. The record is from RNAcentral.
AACAGCAAGGCUCUACUGUUUUGACAAAAUUCAAAAGUGUUUCAUGUGUUGAAAAAUGUGUUUCUAUUAUUAACUAAAAUGAGAAGUUGUCAUGUUGCUAAGUGUGGACGUAAGAUCAGUGAUGGUGUCGAAUUGUUUCCUUUGCCACAAAACAGUGUUCGUCGUCAGCUUUGCCUUGACAAGAUUAAACGUAGGGAAGCUAAUCGUCAUACCAAAAUAAAAAAUAUCACGAUAUGCUCAAAGCAUUUCUAUGGAGGGAAACCUGCAAAAGAAAUCUACCCGAGGCAUCCAGAUUUUGUGCCAUCAUUGUUGUUAGGGGAUGAGCCACUAAAAUUAAUAGAGUCAACUCACCUUUCUGUAAUUCAGGAUCAUUCUUUGCCGAUUGCUUGAUCAACACAACAUUCCAAGUAAUUGCGAAGAGAGUUUGCACACAACCAUGGAAUAUGAAGUUCCCAGCGAUGAGAACCCAUCUGAGACUACAUUACAUCAAGAUUCAUUAUGCCAUGAAAGUCCUUCCCAUUUCACGAACUUCUUUGUAGGUUCCCUAAAAGAUGUAAAGGCAUUAAUUUGAUAGAUAAAAACUUUUUUGUUAUUGAUAUUACUGGCUG